Molecule: transfer RNA, 74 nt
Filed under: Alphaproteobacteria bacterium
Lineage: Bacteria; Pseudomonadati; Pseudomonadota; Alphaproteobacteria
Also listed under: 1 other name
Description: tRNA-Cys
Rfam family: tRNA
About the family: Transfer RNA (tRNA) molecules are approximately 80 nucleotides in length. Their secondary structure includes four short double-helical elements and three loops (D, anti-codon, and T loops).
Source: RNAcentral
GGCCGGGUGGCAGAGUGGUUAUGCAGAGGACUGCAAAUCCUUGUAGGUCGGUUCAAUUCCGACCCCGGCCUCCA